RNAcentral lists this ribosomal RNA (468 nucleotides) under uncultured bacterium. Its description in RNAcentral is "partial 16S ribosomal RNA". It matches the Rfam family "Bacterial small subunit ribosomal RNA", at positions 28 to 507 of the family's 1533-position model. The record is from RNAcentral.
GACGAACGCUGGCGGCGUGCUUAACACAUGCCAGUCGAACGGAAAGGCCCUGCUUUUGUGGGAUGCUCGAGUGGCGAAAGGGUGAGUAACACGUGAGUAACCUGCCCUUGACUUUGGGAUAAAUUCAGGAAACUGGGGCUAAUACCGGAUAGGAGCUCCUGCUGCAUGGUGGGGGUUGGAAAGUUUCGGCGGUUGGGGAUGGACUCGCGGCUUAUCAGCUUGUUGGUGGGGUAGUGGGUUACCAAGGCUUUGACGGGUAGCCGGCCUGCGAGGGUGACUGGCCACAUUGGGACUGAGAUACGGCCCAGAGUCCUACGUGAGGCAGCAGUGGGGAAUAUUGCACAAUGGGCGGAAGCCGGAUGCAGCAACGCCGCGUGCGGGAUGACGGCCUGCGGGUUGUAAACCGCGUUCGCCUGUGACGAAGCGUGAGUGACGGUAAUGGGUAAAGAAGCACCGGCUAACUACGUG